This 498-nucleotide ribosomal RNA is filed under the name Macoma balthica. Its description in RNAcentral is "SSU rRNA". It matches the Rfam family "Eukaryotic small subunit ribosomal RNA", at positions 1299 to 1810 of the family's 1831-position model. The record is from RNAcentral. Lineage: Eukaryota; Metazoa; Mollusca; Bivalvia; Cardiida; Tellinidae.
UUUUGGAGUGAUUUGUCUGGUUAAUUCCGAUAACGAACGAGACUCUAGCCUGCUAAAUAGUUCGGGGACCCCCACAAAGGGGCCCCGCUUUAACUUCUUAGAGGGACAGGUGGCGUUUAGCCACACGAGAUUGAGCAAUAACAGGUCUGUGAUGCCCUUAGAUGUCCGGGGCCGCACAUGCGCUACAAUGAACGGUUCAACGUGCUUAUUGCCUUGCCCGAGAGGGCUGGGAAAUCCGCUGAACCCCGUUCGUACCAGGGAUUGGGGAUUGCAAUUGUUCCCCAUGAACGAGGAAUUCCCAGUAAGCGCGAGUCAUUAGCUCGCGUUGAUUACGUCCCUGCCCUUUGUACACACCGCCCGUCGCUACGACCGAUUGUUCCAGUUAAUGAGCGAUAUGGAUGAGUCCCGUGAUCGGCUUGUCCGUGAUCGUUGGGCUGAGAAGUUGGACAAAUUAUCUGGGGUAGAGGACGUAAAAGUCGUAACAAGGUUUCCGUAGGU